CCAAUAGCGUAUAUUAAAGUUGCUGCAGUUAAAAAGCUCGUAGUUGAAUUUCGGGACUAAUAUAUCGGUCGUGCCUCGGUACGUACUGGUAUUUUUGGUUUCUCCCUUCUGACGAACCUUGAUGUCAUUAAUUUGGUGUCUUGGGAAAUCAGGACUGUUACUUUGAAAAAAUUAGAGUGUUUAAAGCAGGCUCACGCUUGAAUACAUUAGCAUGGAAUAA
RNAcentral lists this ribosomal RNA (220 nucleotides) under uncultured Glomus. RNAcentral's name for it is "partial small subunit ribosomal RNA". It matches the Rfam family "Eukaryotic small subunit ribosomal RNA", at positions 591 to 817 of the family's 1831-position model. Lineage: Eukaryota; Fungi; Glomeromycota; Glomeromycetes; Glomerales; Glomeraceae. The record is from RNAcentral.